This 464-nucleotide ribosomal RNA is filed under the name Vreelandella stevensii. Its description in RNAcentral is "partial 16S ribosomal RNA". It matches the Rfam family "Bacterial small subunit ribosomal RNA", at positions 338 to 795 of the family's 1533-position model. The record is from RNAcentral. Lineage: Bacteria; Pseudomonadati; Pseudomonadota; Gammaproteobacteria; Oceanospirillales; Halomonadaceae.
CCUACGGAGGCUGCAGUGGGGAAUAUUGGACAAUGGGGGGAACCCUGAUCCAGCCAUGCCGCGUGUGUGAAGAAGGCCCUCGGGUUGUAAAGCACUUUCAGUGAGGAAGAACGCCUGGUGGUUAAUACCCAUCAGGAAAGACAUCACUCACAGAAGAAGCACCGGCUAACUCCGUGCCAGCAGCCGCGGUAAUACGGAGGGUGCGAGCGUUAAUCGGAAUUACUGGGCGUAAAGCGCGCGUAGGUGGCUUGAUAAGCCGGUUGUGAAAGCCCCGGGCUCAACCUGGGAACGGCAUCCGGAACUGUCAAGCUAGAGUGCAGGAGAGGAAGGUAGAAUUCCCGGUGUAGCGGUGAAAUGCGUAGAGAUCGGGAGGAAUACCAGUGGCGAAGGCGGCCUUCUGGACUGACACUGACACUGAGGUGCGAAAGCGUGGGUAGCAAACAGGAUUAGAUACCCGUGUAGUC